CAUGGGGGUGGACUUCCCCCUUGCUGUUCUCAUGAUAGUGAGUUCUCACAAGAUCUGGUUGUUUAAAAGUGUGUAGCACUUCCCUCUUUGCUCUUUCUCUCCUGCUCCAUCAUCUUAAGACGUGCUUGCUUCCCCUUUGUCCUUCUGCCACAAUUGUAAGUUUCCUGAGGCCUCCCCAGCCAUGCCUCCUGUACAGCCUAUGGAACUGCACCUCACUGGAUGGCCACUGGCAGGCUAAAAGAAGAUUAAGAGACAGGCCCUGCUCUGCACAGGAGAUGACACUCACUGUAAAUUACUUCACUGAGAAAAAGGAAGGCAUCCACUGCAGCUGUCACCCACUUGCACGUACCUGACUAUCAAGAAGCUGCAUGACAUUAUGGAAAUCCCGGGGAUAUGGAGAACGGUCUUCUUUAAGCUCAUGUGCAUCUUUUAAUGUGCCUAUGUUGGACUUGAUCUGCAUGUUGGACUUCUGGAUUUCUGACAGUUGCUGUAAGAUAAAAUUCAAGCUCAGUACUACAGUUAGACUUUCAUGAGACUGAAACGGAGAAUAAAAUCAGGGAGCACGU
Long non-coding RNA from Symphalangus syndactylus (siamang), 566 nucleotides. RefSeq lists it as uncharacterized. NCBI's taxonomy places the organism in Eukaryota, Metazoa, Chordata, Mammalia, Primates, Hylobatidae. The record is from RefSeq and is a predicted model, not a curated record.